This 482-nucleotide ribosomal RNA is filed under the name uncultured bacterium. Its description in RNAcentral is "partial 16S ribosomal RNA". It matches the Rfam family "Bacterial small subunit ribosomal RNA", at positions 30 to 507 of the family's 1533-position model. The record is from RNAcentral.
AUUGUACGCUGGCGGCAUGCUUUACACAUGCAAGUCGAACGGUAACAGGCCGCAAGGUGCUGACGAGUGGCGCACGGGUGAGUAAUGCAUCGGAACGUGCCCAGUCGUGGGGGAUAACUACUCGAAAGAGUAGCUAAUACCGCAUACGAUCUAUGGAUGAAAGCGGGGGACCGUAAGGCCUCGCGCGAUUGGAGCGGCCGAUGUCAGAUUAGGUAGUUGGUGGGGUAAAGGCUCACCAAGCCAACGAUCUGUAGCUGGUCUGAGAGGACGACCAGCCACACUGGGACUGAGACACGGCCCAGACUCCUACGGGAGGCAGCAGUGGGGAAUUUUGGACAAUGGGCGCAAGCCUGAUCCAGCAAUGCCGCGUGCAGGAAGAAGGCCUUCGGGUUGUAAACUGCUUUUGUACGGAACGAAACGGCUCUGGUUAAUACCCGGGGCUAAUGACGGUACCGUAAGAAUAAGCACCGGCUAACUACGUG